GACGAACGCUGGCGGCGUGCUUAACACAUGCAAGUCGAACGCCCUGAUUUUUCGCAAGAUUGAUCAGGGAGUGGCGAACGGCUGAGUAACGCGUAAGUAACCUACCCUUAAGUGGGGGAUAACUUGCCGAAAGGCAGGCUAAUACCGCAUGUGCUGGUAAGCGCUAGCUUAUCAGCAAAGCUUUUGCGCUUGAGGAGGGGCUUGCGUCUGAUUAGAUAGUUGGCAGGGGUAAUGGCCUACCAAGUCGAUGAUCAGUAGCUGGUCUGAGAGGACAACCAGCCAGACGGGGACUGAGAUACGGCCCUGACUCCUACGGGAGGCUG
Molecule: ribosomal RNA, 323 nt
Filed under: uncultured Chloroflexota bacterium
Lineage: Bacteria; Bacillati; Chloroflexota
Description: bacterial SSU rRNA
Rfam family: Bacterial small subunit ribosomal RNA
Source: RNAcentral